This 713-nucleotide ribosomal RNA is filed under the name uncultured bacterium. Its description in RNAcentral is "bacterial SSU rRNA". It matches the Rfam family "Bacterial small subunit ribosomal RNA", at positions 28 to 740 of the family's 1533-position model. The record is from RNAcentral.
AUUGAACGCUGGCGGAAUGCUUUACACAUGCAAGUCGAACGGUAGAGGGGGCAACCCCUUGAGAGUGGCGAACGGGUGAGUAAUGUAUCGGAACGUGCCCAGUCGUGGGGGAUAACGUAGUGAAAAUUACGCUAAUACCGCAUACGAUCUAUGGAUGAAAGCGGGGGAUCGCAAGACCUCGCGCGAUUGGAGCGGCCGAUAUCAGAUUAGGUAGUUGGUGGGGUAAAGGCUCACCAAGCCAACGAUCUGUAGCUGGUCUGAGAGGACGACCAGCCACACUGGAACUGAGACACGGUCCAGACUCCUACGGGAGGCAGCAGUGGGGAAUUUUGGACAAUGGACGCAAGUCUGAUCCAGCCAUUCCGCGUGCAGGACGAAGGCCUUCGGGUUGUAAACUGCUUUUGUACGGAACGAAAAAGCUCUUAUUAAUACUAGGAGUCCAUGACGGUACCGUAAGAAUAAGCACCGGCUAACUACGUGCCAGCAGCCGCGGUAAUACGUAGGGUGCAAGCGUUAAUCGGAAUUACUGGGCGUAAAGCGUGCGCAGGCGGUUAUAUAAGACAGAUGUGAAAUCCCCGAGCUUAACUUGGGAACUGCAUUUGUGACUGUAUAGCUAGAGUACGGCAGAGGGGGAUGGAAUUCCGCGUGUAGCAGUGAAAUGCGUAGAUAUGCGGAGGAACACCGAUGGCGAAGGCAAUCCCCUGGGCCUGUAC